This 77-nucleotide transfer RNA is filed under the name Acidimicrobiaceae bacterium. RNAcentral describes it as "tRNA-Met". It matches the Rfam family "tRNA". Rfam says of the family: Transfer RNA (tRNA) molecules are approximately 80 nucleotides in length. Their secondary structure includes four short double-helical elements and three loops (D, anti-codon, and T loops). Lineage: Bacteria; Bacillati; Actinomycetota; Acidimicrobiia; Acidimicrobiales; Acidimicrobiaceae. The record is from RNAcentral.
UGCGGGGUGGAGCAGUCUGGUAGCUCGUCGGGCUCAUAACCCGAAGGUCGUGGGUUCGAAUCCCACCCCCGCUACCA